Molecule: long non-coding RNA, 826 nt
Organism: Pan troglodytes (chimpanzee)
Lineage: Eukaryota; Metazoa; Chordata; Mammalia; Primates; Hominidae
Exons: 4
Source: RefSeq, a predicted model, not a curated record
UAUAAAUUCAUCACAAUUCUAAUACGGUGUGCGCCCCUCCUCCUUCCCUUACCCUGACCCUAACCUUCCAACCGUUGAUUCCUGCAGCAAUCUUCCCUAAGGGAGACACCCCGGCUGUAGGCUCACUUCCUCUCCCAAGUCCCAUUCCUUUCACAAGAGUCAAAUCCCUACAGUGGAUUCCUGGACCGUUUUUUCUAAAAGAAGAUCCCAGUCCUCUGGCUUGCCCCUCCCGUCGUGACUCCCAUAUUUGAUGAGUCUGAAUGAAAAUCUGAUGAAACAGAUGUUACUUGAAGCUGAGUGACUUUCUCAGGGUCAAGCAAAUAAGUAAAUGCAGGAGCCAGAAUUAUACCCCAGGAUCCCCAUCACAAGGAGGGGAGGGCUACCAUCCCAGCUGCAAACUCUCAUUCAAAGUUUAUGCUGCAGCCAGCAGUGUCCUUGGAGUCUAGUUCAAAGCUGAAGAGAGUGAACCAUGGAACUGGGAGCCAUUGGCGGAGAGGCUGGCCUGAAGGAAGGGAAGUGUUUCAGCCAGAAUGCACUGACGCACAACCAGGAAACCACAAGACUGAGUAACUACCAGUUGCCAUGAAAUAAAUCACAUCAUCAUAUGGCAGAUCCAGCUAAUAGCUGAGACUGGCAGGAUAACUGAACCGUGUCCUCAGAGCUAAAUGAUGGAGAAAUUGGACUGGCCAUGGAGCACUUCAAAUUGAUUGCUUAGUAAUGGGAUAUUUUUCCUGGAAAGACAACAGAAUACUUCUGAAUUGUUGGUUCUGUCAUGGGUACAGGCUCCCAUGUACAGGAAAAUAAAGAAAGUGUGAUGAAUUUUUCA